This 325-nucleotide ribosomal RNA is filed under the name Tupigea angelim. RNAcentral describes it as "partial 12S ribosomal RNA". The record is from RNAcentral. Lineage: Eukaryota; Metazoa; Arthropoda; Arachnida; Araneae; Pholcidae.
UCUUUUAACACCCAGGUAGUUUUAAAAAAUUAAACCAAUUAAAUUUGGCGGUUGUCCCCCAUUAGAGAAACUUGUUUUAUAAUCGAUAACACCCGCUAAUUUUAACUCGUUUUUAAAGCCAAUAUACCUCCGUUUAAGAAAUAACUUUAUAUCAUACUCCAAACUAAAAUUUUUAUAAAAUCAGGUCAAGGUGUAGCCCAUAAACAAGCUAAAAUAAGUUACUCAUAAAAUAAAUUUUAGGCAUUUUUUCCAAAGAAAUCAACAAAAGAGAAUCUAAAAGCACACCUUAAUUAAAAUUUAAAGUAUAAAAACAACGUGACAAUGU